UGGGGAAUAUUGCACAAUGGGGGAAACCCUGAUGCAGCCAUGCCGCGUGUGUGAAGAAGGCCUUCGGGUUGUAAAGCACUUUCAGUUGUGAGGAAAAGUUAGUAGUUAAUACCUGCUAGCCGUGACGUUAACAACAGAAGAAGCACCGGCUAACUCCGUGCCAGCAGCCGCGGUAAUACGGAGGGUGCGAGCGUUAAUCGGAAUUACUGGGCGUAAAGCGCACGCAGGCGGUUUGUUAAGCUAGAUGUGAAAGCCCCGGGCUCAACCUGGGAUAGUCAUUUAGAACUGGCAGACUAGAGUCUUGGAGAGGGGAGUGGAAUUCCAGGUGUAGCGGUGAAAUGCGUAGAUAUCUGGAGGAACAUCAGUGGCGAAGGCGACUCCCUGGCCAAAGACUGACGCUCAUGUGCGAAAGUGUGGGUAGCGAACAGG
Molecule: ribosomal RNA, 429 nt
Filed under: uncultured bacterium
Lineage: Bacteria
Description: bacterial SSU rRNA
Rfam family: Bacterial small subunit ribosomal RNA
Source: RNAcentral